Molecule: long non-coding RNA, 945 nt
Organism: Hippoglossus stenolepis (Pacific halibut)
Lineage: Eukaryota; Metazoa; Chordata; Actinopteri; Pleuronectiformes; Pleuronectidae
Exons: 2
Source: RefSeq, a predicted model, not a curated record
UUUGAAGGGACGUUUGGAGUUUCCGGUGCUGUGGCGUGAAACAGUUUGUGACUAAUGGCGAAAACAAAUAAAGUAAAUAUGGCUAAUUUCACAUGAAGAACUGGUAACAAGCCUUCAAACAUGUAUUUAAUAAUAAAGACUGCAUUAAGAAGAACAUGCCCGGUGUGAGAAAGCUGCACCCGGUUACUUGCUCUUACCUGGGCUUGUUCGCGUUGACAUGGCUGCUGCCCCGGGCCGGUUGUCGUGGUGGUGGUGGUGGAGGGCCCGGGAGGCGCAGGGAACUUCAGGCCGUCAUGCGGCUCCACGGAGGCGGCCUCGUUGAGGGCGGUCUGCAGGGUGAGGGUCCCGGCGGCGGAGCUUCCCUCUGAACCGUCGGAGCCUUCCGGGACCAAGAGAAGCUGCUUGAUCAUCUUGUUCCGUGGGUUUGACUCCUGCUGCGGGGCCGACGUCUCAUUUUCCCCCGCUUGUCCGAUAGAUCAGGGGCCGUAUCCAGGGUCCAGCUCUGCAGACCAACACACACACACACGGAGCUGCAGAAGAUCUACGCGCGAAACUCAGGUUCCUGGCGACACCUUUAAACCUCAUUUGCAUCUGGGUUUCUAUUGGCUGUCGCUCUGUGUACGUAAAGGCGUGUACGUGAUUUGACGUACAUGGACUUUACCUGAAUAACUUAUACAUACACAUUCCAUAGAGUUAAAGUUGCCACUAUAUUUGCACAUUUGAAUAUAUAAGGUUUUAGUAUUGUAUCGUAUUGUGUUUGACUUUUUUUAUAGAGUUCUUUCUACCUUGGUUUUAUUUUGUUUUAAUUAUUAGACUGCUGAACUGACCUGUUUCUUCUCGUCCACCACUUUUCAUUGUACUGUUGAACCCUUGUCAACUUGCAAAGGACAAAUGAAACUUGAAGUUACAUCUCCAAGGGAAAUAAAGCACAUUUUUUCUGACGGC